Molecule: transfer RNA, 69 nt
Filed under: Panthera onca (jaguar)
Lineage: Eukaryota; Metazoa; Chordata; Mammalia; Carnivora; Felidae
Also listed under: 1 other name
Description: tRNA-Asp
Rfam family: tRNA
About the family: Transfer RNA (tRNA) molecules are approximately 80 nucleotides in length. Their secondary structure includes four short double-helical elements and three loops (D, anti-codon, and T loops).
Source: RNAcentral
GAAGUAUUAGUAAAACAAUUACAUAACUUUGUCAAGGUUAAAUUAUAGGUUUAAACCCUAUGUACUUCC